AGAAGUUUGCAGCCRGACUGUUUAUUAAUGAACUUAUUGGCUUGGUGAGUACAGUCAUGGUUGAAGGUGGCAGAUUUUGGGAUCUUUGGAGUUAACUGGUGGGUUUUUUUCUGUUCAGUUGAGGAAAAAGUUUGUCUGCUCGACGUAGGACACAAGUGCCUCCUCCUCCUCCUCCUGAUGACGGGGCUUCAUGCAACAAGGGUGAGGUUGUCUUCCUCCCCUCACAUGCGUUCAAUUAGUAGCGUGGAAAGAGAGCCCAGUCUACGGACACCUGCUGUUUUGCUUGCUUGUUUUAUUCAGUUUUUUUUCUAUUAUUAAUUCACUCACCUGGUCCUUGCAUCUGACUUCUUGAUGCUCAGCCGGGUCCACAAGUUUCCUUGUUCAGCAGCAUUUUCGCCUCCGAAUCCAAUGGAAGCUGAUUUCGAGACCAGGCCCUUCUAGUUAUUUUUUUUCUUGUUUGUUUACUUGUUCAUUAGGCCUGUUUAAUUUCAUUGGUAUUAUUUUUUUCCUUUUUCAUUAUUUUUGUUUUAUUAUUUUGUUCUCUUUUGUUGCAGGCUGAGAGCUGACUGGGGCGGUCUUAUGUUCGGUGGUGGUUCCCUGGGUGUGACGGGCCCUGUUCACUCCUUGUAUUGUGGAGCACUGUUUGGGUGAUUUGGUUUGUGUGUCUAUUUGUCUGUUUUUUUUUUUGACCGUCACUAGGACGCCUCAGCCUGAAUGAUGUAAAUUUUUAAAACUUGCCUCAGACGUGUGUUUUAGCAGUUGUUGUAAUUAAUUCAUAUUUUUAAUUUUGGAACACAGUCUCUGUAA
This is a long non-coding RNA of Austrofundulus limnaeus, 807 nucleotides long. RefSeq lists it as uncharacterized. The transcript is spliced from 3 exons. NCBI's taxonomy places the organism in Eukaryota, Metazoa, Chordata, Actinopteri, Cyprinodontiformes, Rivulidae. The record is from RefSeq and is a predicted model, not a curated record.